GACAGAGGGUGCAAACGUUGUUCGGAAUUACUGGGCGUAAAGCGAGUGUAGGCGGUCCUAAAAGUCGGGUGUGAAAGCCCCGGGCUCAACCCGGGAAGUGCACUCGAAACUGCAGGGCUAGAGUAUCGGAGAGGUUGGUGGAAUUCUCGGUGUAGAGGUGAAAUUCGUAGAUAUCGAGAGGAACACCGGUGGCGAAGGCGGCCAACUGGACGAAUACUGACGCUGAGACUCGAAAGCGUGGGGAGCAAACAGG
This 253-nucleotide ribosomal RNA is filed under the name uncultured bacterium. RNAcentral's name for it is "partial 16S ribosomal RNA". It matches the Rfam family "Bacterial small subunit ribosomal RNA", at positions 524 to 776 of the family's 1533-position model. The record is from RNAcentral.